GGUGCGAGCGUUGUCCGGAAUUACUGGGCGUAAAGAGCUCGUAGGUGGUUUGUCGCGUUGUUCGUGAAAUCUCACGGCUUAACUGUGAGCGUGCGGGCGAUACGGGCAGACUAGAGUACUGCAGGGGAGACUGGAAUUCCUGGUGUAGCGGUGGAAUGCGCAGAUAUCAGGAGGAACACCGGUGGCGAAGGCGGGUCUCUGGGCAGUAACUGACGCUGAGGAGCGAAAGCGUGGGGAGCGAACAGGAUUAGAUACCCUGGUAGUCCACGCCGUAAACGGUGGGUACUAGGUGUGGGUUUCCUUCCUUGGGAUCCGUGCCGUAGCUAACGCAUUAAGUACCCCGCCUGGGGAGUACGGCCGCAAGGCUAAAACUCAAAGGAAUUGACGGGGGCCCGCACAAGCGGCGGAGCAUGUGGAUUAAUUCGAUGCAACGCGAAGAACCUUACCUGGGUUUGACAUGCACAGGACGCGUCUAGAGAUAGGCGUUCCCUUGUGGCCUGUGUGCAGGUGGUGCAUGGCUGGCGUCGGCUCGUGUCGUGAGAUGCUUGGGUUAAGUCCCGCGAACGAGCGCAACCCUUGUCUCAUGUUGCCAGCGGGUAAUGCCGGGGACUCGUGAGAGACUGCCGGGGUCAACUCGGAGGAAGGUGGGGAUGACGUCAAGUCAUCAUGCCCCUUAUGUCCAGGGCUUCACACAUGCUACAAUGGCCGGUACAAAGGGUGAUCCGUAAGGUAACGAAUCCUUUUAAAGCCGGUCUCAGUUCGGAUUGGGGUCUGCAACUGACCCCAUGAAGUCGGAGU
This 798-nucleotide ribosomal RNA is filed under the name uncultured Mycobacterium sp. RNAcentral's name for it is "bacterial SSU rRNA". It matches the Rfam family "Bacterial small subunit ribosomal RNA", at positions 531 to 1332 of the family's 1533-position model. Lineage: Bacteria; Bacillati; Actinomycetota; Actinomycetes; Mycobacteriales; Mycobacteriaceae. The record is from RNAcentral.